RNA transcript from Marmota monax (woodchuck), 4881 nucleotides. It is a transcript of the gene named ankyrin repeat domain-containing protein 36B, with no coding region annotated. Lineage: Eukaryota; Metazoa; Chordata; Mammalia; Rodentia; Sciuridae. The transcript has 4 exons. The record is from RefSeq and is a predicted model, not a curated record.
UUCUUAUGUAUACUAUAAAAAUCAUAUUCCCAUUGGAAUUUUUAAAGCCUGUUUAGGUUACACAUUGUUAUAAAUAAAAAAAUUAUUCACACUGCAAGCAAUACUAUCUCUUUCUCUUCAGUUUUGUCCCUUAAAAAUGCAAUAGAUUUAGUAUCUUUCAUUAUGCAAAAAACAAUUUAUCGAUAUAGAUCACUAUGAAGCUCAUCAAUAUGAAAAAUUUCUGACUUACAUUUUGCCUCAAUUUAUAAAUUGUUUUAAGUAGCAACUAAAAUGGCAUAAGAGUAAAAGAAUCUUGAAAACCAGAUGUUCAUUAGGGUCCCAGAUUUACCAUUAAAACUGAGGAUAUAUGUUAUGAUCUUAUUUUUAUUAGAUUGUAAUAGUUAUACAUAGAAGUUGAAUACAUAGUAGUAUAUAUAGUCAUUGUUACACUUAGUAGUUUUGUCGGGUUUAUCCCAACAAAAUUAUACAUGCAUGGAAUUUGAUUUCAGUUCAAGAUUCAAUUCCUUUCCUGACCCUCUCUCCUUCUGUCCUUCCUGUCCUCCAUUGUUCUCUUUCCUCUACUCUGAUAGACAUAUGCUCCCUUCUCCAUUUAGUUUUGAUUGGUUCUUUUUACUUAAACAGAAAGAUGACAUUUCCUGUGGUAUAUUUGUAUAUGCACAUAACAUAAUUUUUGAAGAGUUCAUUAUUUGUUGACUCUCCUUUGUUAUCCUUCUACUUGGCCCCUCCAUCUUCUCCUACUACACUACUGAUCUUCCCUGUAUCUUUUUGAUAUCCUAUCCUUCCUUCCUCCUUUUCUUCAUUUUAUCCUAGCUUCCACAUAUUAGAGAAUACAUUCAACCUUUGAGUUUCUGAGUUUGUCUUUUUUCACUUAACAUGAUAUUCUCCAUUUCCACCCAUUAACUAACAAAUUCCAUAAUUUAAUUAUUCUUUAUGGGUGAGUAGAAUGACAUUGUGUAUACAUACAACAAUUUCUUAAUUUUUUCAUCCAUCAGUGGGCAUCUGGGUUGAUUUUAUAAUGUAGUCAUUAAGAAUUGGACUACUAUAAACUUGAAGUAGCUAUAUCACUAUAGUAUGCUGAUUUUAGUUCUUUUACAAAAAUAACCAGGAGUGAAAUAUCUUGGUUCUAUUGUGGUUUGAUCCCUAGAUUUUUUUAGGAAUAUUCAAACUGCUUUGCAGAGUGAACAUACUAGUCUUCAUUGUUUCCAACAAUGUACAAAUGUUCCUUUAUCCAAACAACCUUGCCAGCAUUUAUUGUUGUUUGUAUACUUGCUCAUUACCAUUCCAAUUGGAGUGAUAUUAGCCCUUAUUGUAGCAUUUCUCUGAUUGCUAGAGAUGUUGAACAUUUGUUUAUAUAUUUGUUGUUCAUUCAUUUUCUUCUUUUGAAAAAUGUCUCCUCAGUUCUUUUUCCCAUUUAUUGUAAUAGGUUGUUUUGAGGGUAUAUUGUUGUCUGUGUUAUAUAUUCUGGAUAUUAACCCCCUAUCAGUUGAGUAGCUGACAGACUUUCACUGAUUCCCAGGGAGAAUAUAUUUUUGAUUUCAUCUUUAUAACAUGGAAGGUAAAUAUUUUUUAUCUAAUAAUAGCAGAAAACAAGAUUCAAUUCCUUUCCUUUAAGAAAAAAAGCAGCAUAGUCUACUCAAAGUCUAUUCUUUCAAUUCAGAUCCCACUUCUUUUGUGAACAAUUUGGAGCAAAAGUGCCUGAUAUUGGUAUGUGGGAUUCUGACACCAUAAAUUGAAUAGAAUCAAGAGGACUUGAGUAACAUGAAGAAAAAACUUCCAUGUUAUUGGAAAGUGUAUACCUGCAACUUUAGUUCUUCACAUGUAAAUGUUUGCUAUGAAAAAUCAAUGUCAAAGAAGUGUUAAGCAAUAGUAAAGAUAUUUCUGUAGUACUGGAUAUAUAAUGCACAGUCUUGUAAAUAUUCUCUAACAGUGAAUCAAGGAACCUUUCUGAUAAGGGUUGGUAUUUCUGGAAAAGUAUGUAUUCUUUGAUAUGUAGAUUAAUAAACCCUGAUAUAGAGUUAAAAAUUUGGCUUAUUAAAUAAAAUAUUUAAAUCCUUUACUAAUUGUUUUAGGGUACAGGGCUAUUGAGAAAAGAGGUCUCUGUCUUCAAGAAAUGACUAGAGUUUAUGUGGCCACUCUAAGUAGAGGAGAGACAUUGCAAAGUUAAGGGUCGGAAAAUAUGAAAGUGAAAUGAGAUGAGAAGGAAGAGAUUACUCUUAAUUUACAAUAUUUGUUAUAUUCUUAUGUUCAUACAGCACUUUGUAAGAGGUUCAGUUCAGUUGAAUAAUUCUGUAAAAUUUUUGUUGUUUUCCAGAGGGGCUAUACACCACUUUUACUUGCCAUAGAGCAAAACAGACAGCAGAUGGUUGAAACAUUAAUUCAGAACAAAGCAAAUAUACAUGCAGUUGACCAGAAGGGAAGAACAGCCCUCAUGUUUGCUUUGGAACAAAAAUCAAAACACGUAGUUGAGAUGCUUCUUCAGAGUGGUAUUGAUGUCUCUGCUGCAGAUAACUUUGGGCAGAUGGCAUUAGCUUAUGCUAUUGCUAGUGGUGAUACUAACCUGAAGGAAUUAAUUCUUCAAUAUAUGAAAGUAGAAUCUAAACAUCCUGAAAAUAUCAACCCAGUUUUUGGCAGACACAACAUCUUUGUUUGUAUGUGGUGCUGAGGAUUGAACCCGGGCCGCACGCAUGCCAGGCCAGUGUGCUACCGCUUGAGCCACAUCCCCAGCCCCAAGGACAUCCAUAACAUUCAAAAAAUUUAAGAAAUUUUCUGCUAUUUUUUUCUCCAAAUAAAUUGCAUUGCCUAUAAGCCUGUAGUAAUACACCAUUGUCUGUGUUCAUAAUUCAUGAGUUUAGUCUAUAAAUCAGGUACCAAGGACUUUGUAUAUUCUGUUUCUUCUUCUUUUUGUUGUCAUAACUAACUAAACGUGACAUUCAUCAUUGCCUUCCAACUCUGAUAUUUUUUCUUCUGAUUAAUCUAGUCUAUGAUUGAAACUUAGAUUUAUUUUUUUUUAAUUUGAAAUAUUAAGCUAUUUAUUUCCAAGAUUGCUGUUUGAUUUCUUUUCGGAAGCUCUAUUUUUGCACUGUUCUCUAAUGCCUUGUAAAGUUUUUAUUACUUUAUUUAUCUUCUAUUUGUAUCAUUUUUGAGUUCAUACAUUAUUUUUAAUCUUUUUAAAUCCUUUUUCUGGCAUUUUGUCUACUGCAGUGUCAUUGGAAUCAGUUGCUAGAGAGUUAUGAACUUUUGGAGGAUCCAUGUUACCUUACUUGUUCAUCUUAUAUUUGUGCUAAAUUUUGUGCAUCUGUGGGGAUGUAUGUUUCUUCCACAUUUAUGUGAGAGUCUUCUUAGGAAAUAACCUUCUCUUGAUGAUGUAUCCUGGGCUAUUGGUUUAUUUUGUCAAGAUUAUUUCCAAAUUAUAGACUUUGUAUUAUAGACUUUUAUGUUUUACCUGACUGUGAUUCAUGGAUUUUGUCACAGUUUGUACUAUCAUAGCCUGAAGGACCAACUUUCUUUGUCAAUCUUGUGAGAAUGGAGUCACAUGAUGUAGGCAGUGGAUUAUGUGGGCUGCAUUUUUUGUGGUCAUUACUGUAGCCUUGUCAAUAAUUUUCUGUCUGCAAAGGCACGGGAGAGACCUAGUGCCACAGUCCAGCUGGGCAAAGUAACUGAGAGGUGACAAGCAACUGAAGGUUGAAGCGGUAACUGAAGGUAACUGAAGAUAACUGCUUUAUUAUAGAAGAGCAGAAGUAUAUAUAUCUAACUGAUUUACAUAAAGCAUGACUCAAUCAGCAUCAUCCAAUCAUAGCAUUGCUCCCCUACAGAUACAGCAAUCAGCCAAUAAGGAGUCCCCACCAUCUUGAUGACUCAGUGGCAUUGCCUCACAAGCCACUCCUCCUGGCAAACUGCCAGGCACCAUCUUGACAUGGUCAUGGCCUCCAACAACCUAGGCUGAGGUGCUGCUUGGUGCAGACUUCAUACCUGCACAACUCUGUAAACAGAGUUGUUUCACCUACCUGCUCAUGCUAUGAGGGUGGCUGCCAAACACUGGAUUAUAGUACAUUCGAUCCAUACCAACAUGGGUACAUGUCAGCUGGGGGCUUUUAUUUACCCUGUUAUUUGACUCGAAGUACCUGCCAAGUUAUAAGUGGGACUGUACGUCUUCUGUGGAAAGUAAGAUGCAUUUUUUCUUACCUUUGCUGUGGGUUUUAGAAGUUGCAAAGUACCUGCCAAUGUGUUCAAGGAAUGGGGCUGGAUCCCCAAUGCAGAUGGAAGAAGACAAACAACAAUAAUACAGCAUGAAGGCAAACUAGAUAUAGGUAUACAGAAACAAUCAAAAAGAAAAAAAAAAAAAAAACAUCAGUAACAACAGAGAAGAAAAGGAUAAAAUAUUUAGGAUCUACUAAAUUGUUAAAGGUUCAUAAAAGUAAAAUUAAUUUUAAAAAAAGGAAAAAUGAGAAAUUAGAAGAAAAUUUAAAAAUUCUAUUAAAUUAUGACAAUAAAAGUAAUGAAACAAAAUGACAAAGUAAUAAUUAAAAAGAAAGUAACACAAAGCAAAAUCUAGUCAAGAAUUUCUUCUACAUGAGUUGUAUGUGCACACACUGUCCUAGUUUUGCCCAGGGCAAUUGUCAAUGCCUGCAUAGCAGCAAGCCCUUCAUACCUGCAGAGCUUUGGCAUUAUGAGGGUUGUGCCAGAAAGUCAUAUAUUCUGCCUGUAGAACUAUAGUCUGUGUGGGCUGGGGAUGUGGCUCAAGCGGUAGCGCGCUUGCCUGGCAAGCGUGCGGCCCAGGUUCGAUCCUCACCACCACAUACAAACAAAGAUGUUGUGUCCGCCAAAAACUGAAAAAAAAAAAAAUUAAAAUUUUCUCUCUCUCUCUCUCUCUCUCUCUCUCUC